GGAGGGGGAUAACGGCUGGAAACGGCCGCUAAUACCCUAUAUGCCGAGAGGUGAAAUGAGUUUUCGCCUGAGGAUGAGCUCGCGUCUGAUUAGCUAGUUGGUGGGGUGAGAGCCUACCAAGGCAUCGAUCAGUAGCUGGUCUGAGAGGAUGAUCAGCCACACUGGGACUGAGACACGGCCCAGACUCCUACGGGAGGCAGCAGUGGGGAAUUUUCCGCAAUGGGCGAAAGCCUGACGGAGCAACGCCGCGUGAGGGAUGAAGGCCUCUGGGCUGUAAACCUCUUUUAUCAAGGAAGAAGAUCUGACGGUACUUGAUGAAUAAGCCACGGCUAAUUCCGUGCCAGCAGCCGCGGUAAUACGGGAGUGGCAAGCGUUAUCCGGAAUUAUUGGGCGUAAAGCGUCCGCAGGCGGCCUGAUAAGUCUGUUGUCAAAGCGUGGAGCUUAACUCCAUUUCGGCAAUGGAAACUGUGAGGCUUGAGUGUGGUAGGGGCAGAGGGAAUUCCCGGUGUAGCGGUGAAAUGCGUAGAUAUCGGGAAGAACACCAGUGGCGAAGGCGCUCUGCUGGGCCAUAACUGACGCUCAUGGACGAAAGCCAGGGGAGCGAAAGGGAUUAGAUACCCCUGUAGUCCUGGCCGUAAACGAUGAACACUAGGUGUCGGGGGAAUCGACCCCCUCGGUGUCGUAGCCAACGCGUUAAGUGUUCCGCCUGGGGAGUACGCACGCAAGUGUGAAACUCAAAGGAAUUGACGGGGGCCCGCACAAGCGGUGGAGUAUGUGGUUUAAUUCGAUGCAACGCGAAGAACCUUACCAGGGUUUGACAUCCUGCGAAUCCCUUGGAAACUUGGGAGUGCCUUCGGGAGCGCAGAGACAGGUGGUGCAUGGCUGUCGUCAGCUCGUGUCGUGAGAUGUUGGGUUAAGUCCCGCAACGAGCGCAACCCACGUCUUUAGUUGCCAGCAUUCAGUUGGGCACUCUAGAGAGACCGCCGGUGAUAAACCGGAGGAAGGUGUGGAUGACGUCAAGUCAUCAUGCCCCUUACAUCCUGGGCUACACACGUACUACAAUGCUACGGACAAAGGGCAGCAAACUCGCGAGAGCUAGCAAAUCCCAUAAACCGUGGCUCAGUUCAGAUCGUAGGCUGCAACUCGCCUACGUGAAGGAGGAAUCGCUAGUAAUCGCAGGUCAGCAUACUGCGGUGAAUACGUUCCCGGGCCUUGUACACACCGCCCGUCACACCAUGGAAGUUGGCCACGCCCGAAGCC
This 1260-nucleotide ribosomal RNA is filed under the name uncultured bacterium. RNAcentral describes it as "bacterial SSU rRNA". It matches the Rfam family "Bacterial small subunit ribosomal RNA", at positions 135 to 1428 of the family's 1533-position model. The record is from RNAcentral.